UACGUAGGGGGCAAGCGUUGUCCGGAAUCAUUGGGCGUAAAGCGCGUGUAGGCGGUUCGGUAAGUCUGCUGUGAAAGUCCAGGGCUCAACCCCUGGGAUGCCGGUGGAUACUGUCGGACUAGAGUACGGAAGAGGCGAGUGGAAUUCCCGGUGUAGGCGGUGGAAAUGCGCAGGAUAUCGGGAAGGAACACCAAUUGCGAA
This 201-nucleotide ribosomal RNA is filed under the name uncultured bacterium. RNAcentral's name for it is "partial 16S ribosomal RNA". It matches the Rfam family "Bacterial small subunit ribosomal RNA", at positions 524 to 719 of the family's 1533-position model. The record is from RNAcentral.